This 440-nucleotide ribosomal RNA is filed under the name uncultured bacterium. RNAcentral's name for it is "partial 16S ribosomal RNA". It matches the Rfam family "Bacterial small subunit ribosomal RNA", at positions 338 to 795 of the family's 1533-position model. The record is from RNAcentral.
CCUACGGGGGGCUGCAGUGGGGAAGAUUGCACAAUGGGGGAAACCCUGAUGCAGCAACGCCGCGUGAGUGAAGAAGUAUGGCGGUAUGUAAAGCUCGAUCAGCAGGGAAGAAGAUGACGGUACCUGAUUAAGAAGCCCCGGCUAACUACGUGCCAGCAGCCGCGGUAAUACGUAGGGGGCAAGCGUUAUCCGGAUUUACUGGGUGUAAAGGGAGCGCAGACGGCAGUGCAAGUCUGGAGUGAAAGCCCGGGGCCCAACCCCGGAACUGCUCUGGAAACUGUGCGGCUAGAGUACUGGAGGGGCAGGCGUCAUUCCUCGUGUAGCUGUGACAUGCGUAGUUCUUAGGCGGAACACCAGUGGCGCAGGCGGCCUGCUGGACAGUACCUGACGUUGAGGCUCGCAAGCGUGGGGAGCAAACCGGAUUAGCUACCCUAGUAGUC